Molecule: ribosomal RNA, 664 nt
Filed under: uncultured bacterium
Lineage: Bacteria
Description: bacterial SSU rRNA
Rfam family: Bacterial small subunit ribosomal RNA
Source: RNAcentral
GGCGGCAGGCCUAACACAUGCAAGUCGAACGGCAGCGGGUCGUAGCAAUACGAUGCCGGCGAGUGGCGGACGGGUGAGGAAUACAUCGGAAUCUACCUUGUCGUGGGGGAUAACGUAGGGAAAUUUACGCUAAUACCGCAUACGAUCUAGGGAUGAAAGCGGGGGACCUUCGGGCCUCGCGCGAUUGGAGCGGCUGAUAUCAGAUUAGGUUGUUGGUGAGGUAAAAGCUCACCAAGCCGACGAUCUGUAGCUGGUUUGAGAGAACGACCAGCCACACUGGGACUGAGACACGGCCCAGACUCCUACGGGAGGCAGCAGUGGGGAAUUUUGGACAAUGGGCGAAAGCCUGAUCCAGCAAUGCCGCGUGCAGGAAGAAGGCCUUCGGGUUGUAAACUGCUUUUGUACGGAACGAAAAGGUCUGCCCUAAUACGGCGGGCCCAUGACGGUACCGUAAGAAUAAGCACCGGCUAACUACGUGCCAGCAGCCGCGGUAAUACGUAGGGUGCGAGCGUUAAUCGGAAUUACUGGGCGUAAAGCGUGCGCAGGCGGUGAUGUAAGACAGUUGUGAAAUCCCCGGGCUCAACCUGGGAAUUGCAUCUGUGACUGCAUCGCUAGAGUACGGUAGAGGGGGAUGGAAUUCCGCGUGUAGCAGUGAAAUGCGUAG